CGAAUGCUGACAUAAGUAACGAUAAAGCGGGUGAAAAGCCCGCUCGCCGGAAGACCAAGGGUUCCUGUCCAACGUUAAUCGGGGCAGGGUGAGUCGACCCCUAAGGCGAGGCCGAAAGGCGUAGUCGAUGGGAAACAGGUUAAUAUUCCUGUACUUGGUGUUACUGCGAAGGGGGGACGGAGAAGGCUAUGUUGGCCGGGCGACGGUUGUCCCGGUUUAAGCGUGUAGGCUGGUUUUCCAGGCAAAUCCGGAAAAUCAAGGCUGAGGCGUGAUGACGAGGCACUACGGUGCUGAAGCAACAAAUGCCCUGCUUCCAGGAAAAGCCUCUAAGCAUCAGGUAACAUCAAAUCGUACCCCAAACCGACACAGGUGGUC
This 375-nucleotide ribosomal RNA is filed under the name Escherichia coli. Its description in RNAcentral is "partial 23S ribosomal RNA". It matches the Rfam family "Bacterial large subunit ribosomal RNA", at positions 1291 to 1668 of the family's 2925-position model. The record is from RNAcentral. Lineage: Bacteria; Pseudomonadati; Pseudomonadota; Gammaproteobacteria; Enterobacterales; Enterobacteriaceae.